AGUGCCGAGGAUGUAGGAAUUUCGGACGCGGGUUCAACUCCCGCCAGCUCCACCA
Molecule: transfer-messenger RNA, 55 nt
Filed under: Klebsiella pneumoniae
Lineage: Bacteria; Pseudomonadati; Pseudomonadota; Gammaproteobacteria; Enterobacterales; Enterobacteriaceae
Description: partial transfer-messenger RNA
Rfam family: transfer-messenger RNA
About the family: Bacterial tmRNA, also known as 10Sa RNA or SsrA, is named for its dual tRNA and mRNA-like properties. Its role is to liberate the mRNA from a stalled ribosome. To accomplish this part of the tmRNA is used as a reading frame that ends in a translation stop signal.
Source: RNAcentral